This 78-nucleotide transfer RNA is filed under the name Sulfurospirillum deleyianum DSM 6946. RNAcentral's name for it is "tRNA-Pro (GGG) (tRNA-Pro-GGG-1-1)". It matches the Rfam family "tRNA". Rfam says of the family: Transfer RNA (tRNA) molecules are approximately 80 nucleotides in length. RNAcentral also lists the same sequence under 6 other names. The record is from RNAcentral. Lineage: Bacteria; Pseudomonadati; Campylobacterota; Epsilonproteobacteria; Campylobacterales; Sulfurospirillaceae.
CGGGGCGUAGCGCAGCCUGGCUAGCGCGCUACCUUGGGGUGGUAGAGGUCGCGUGUUCGAAUCACGUCGCUCCGACCA